Molecule: ribosomal RNA, 531 nt
Filed under: uncultured bacterium
Lineage: Bacteria
Description: bacterial SSU rRNA
Rfam family: Bacterial small subunit ribosomal RNA
Source: RNAcentral
AGAGUUUGAUCCUGGCUCAGAUUGAACGCUGGCGGCAGGCCUAACACAUGCAAGUCGAGCGGCAGCGGGAAAGUAGCUUGCUACUUUUGCCGGCGAGCGGCGGACGGGUGAGUAAUGUAUGGAGAUCUGCCCGAUAGAGGGGGAUAACUACUGGAAACGGUAGCUAAUACCGCAUAAUCUCUCAGGAGCAAAGCAGGGGAACUUCGGUCCUUGCGCUAUCGGAUGAACCCAUAUGGGAUUAGCUAGUUGGUGAGGUAAUGGCUCACCAAGGCGACGAUCCCUAGCUGGUCUGAGAGGAUGAUCAGCCACACUGGGACUGAGACACGGCCCAGACUCCUACGGGAGGCAGCAGUAGGGAAUCUUCGGCAAUGGACGAAAGUCUGACCGAGCAACGCCGCGUGAGUGAAGAAGGCCUUCGGGUUGUAAAGUACUUUCAGUCGGGAGGAAGGUGUCAAGGUUAAUAACCUUGGCAAUUGACGUUACCGACAGAAGAAGCACCGGCUAACUCCGUGCCAGCCGCCGCGGUAAUUC